GUGUCAGCAGCCGCGGUAAUACGAAGGGGGCAAGCGUUGUUCGGAAUCACUGGGCGUAAAGCGCACGCAGGCGGAUUGAUGAGUCGGGGGUGAAAUCCCGGGGCUUAACCUCGGAACUGCCUUCGAUACUGUCAGUCUUGAGUCCGGGAGAGGUGAGUGGAAUUCCUAGUGUAGAGGUGAAAUUCGUAGAUAUUAGGAAGAACACCAGUGGCGAAGGCGGCUCACUGGCCCGGUACUGACGCUCAGGUGCGAAAGCGUGGGGAGCAAACAGGAUUAGAAACCCUCGUAGUCC
This 292-nucleotide ribosomal RNA is filed under the name uncultured bacterium. Its description in RNAcentral is "partial 16S ribosomal RNA". It matches the Rfam family "Bacterial small subunit ribosomal RNA", at positions 505 to 796 of the family's 1533-position model. The record is from RNAcentral.